Molecule: long non-coding RNA, 789 nt
Organism: Mercenaria mercenaria
Lineage: Eukaryota; Metazoa; Mollusca; Bivalvia; Venerida; Veneridae
Exons: 2
Source: RefSeq, a predicted model, not a curated record
AAUUUUAUUUUGCAUUUUAAAAAUCAAAAGAGCUUGAUAGAGGAUAUAGUUGAUAUAGUUUAAAAGAAGCCAAUGAAUAUCAGAAAUGCUUAUAUAAUAAUGAUUUUAUUCGAUAUAAAAUGAGUGACUGACUAAAACAUGCACAUAUCAUAAAAAAUGUUUUACAACAUAUGUGUGAUUAUCACUUUUAUGAAAAACUUGCACGUUUAUUUCAUGCAUUCAGUAUUACUUAACUAAAUACUACGGUGGAUAAUAUGUUGCCUGUUUCACUGGCUAUCAUAUAUAAUGUCAAUACGUGGGAUUACGCUUAAGGACGGAUGAAUAUCUUUUAUAGAUAAUUAGAUGUUCUGUAAGUAAUAAAAAUUCAUUUAAAAAUUUGCAGUUUCUAUGUUUAUUGUUCUCUUAUAAAGUGAUCUAACAUUUUAUUAGAAACUUAAUUUCCUCGUUAAUCAUGCGUAACGUUACUUCAUACAUCUUUGGGUCCCCACUGACCUUUUAAAGAAGAUUUUAAAAUACUAUCGUUAAAAUGCACAAAAUAAAAGGAGAUUGUGUUUGGUUCUGGUUAAAAAUCAGAAACCUAUAUCAUACAUUUUCAUCCGGACUUGUGCAACUCGUGGAAAUUAUAAUGCAUAUGUUGCUCAUAAAUUUGAAUAGAUUUUAAUCUUUCACCCAAACAAACAAAUAUCAUUUCCUUUAAUAGACAUAAUAUCUGCUAAUACUACGAUUUGAUAAAACUUACAAAAUCUGCAAAACCUGAAAACAUGGUAAACGUAAUUACGGAAACAAAAA